RNAcentral lists this long non-coding RNA (767 nucleotides) under Vigna radiata. RNAcentral's name for it is "long non-coding RNA (VRAD_LNC005663)". Lineage: Eukaryota; Viridiplantae; Streptophyta; Magnoliopsida; Fabales; Fabaceae. The record is from RNAcentral.
UGGUGGAAUUAUAACACAAGCAGCAGGGGUAGAAGAGUCUAAUGAAAAUACAACUCAACCGGAAAUAAAGAGGGACUCAAGAAACAGAUUAACUAACUCGAGGCUGAAUAACUUUUAUUGGUCUGGGACCUAAUCCAUAUAUUUUUUGUUGGUGAAGGAGAGAGGAGGGAGGAGGGUGUGAAUUUUGUUGGCCUUGCUGCAUCUUUUUGUGUAAAUUCUCUAUUUUGGUUUAUGUGUAUUUUGGUCUGACAUUUUUAAGGGAAUUUAUUUCUAUAAUUCUCUUCCUUCCUUACUAGAAAUCUUAAUAAUACUACGAUUAAUAAUAUUACGAUUCAGAGCAUAUUUCCAUUGUUUAUCUUUUUGUUGAGUGCAGGCAUUUUCUUUUCACUGUUCCAGAAAAUCUGAGUACUGUUAGAUUCGGUACUGUUACACUAUGUGGAUGAGUUGAUUAUAUUAUGUUUAUUUAUUACGUUUGACCUAUAAAAAACAAGCAUUUGAAACCUCUUCUGCGUCUAACAUCACGACUAUGGCCACGACCUCCCUUCCACCAUCGCCAUCCACCUCUCGUGCGUCAGAAUCCUAAGGAUGAAUUUUUCACCACUGCGAACUCCCUCUCUCAUCUCUAUUUCCACGCCAUGAACCAACAAAAACUCCCCUCCUCAAAUACCUUUUGUAUUUUUUCCCUAUUUUUUAUUUAUUUUUUUCAUUCACGAUAUGAACCCUAAUUUUAAUUCAUGUUUCUUGAUAAGGUUUCUAUUAAUGAUUUC